UUAAGCAAUUUCCAUCAAAUUUAACAUUCCUAUUGUUCAACUCAUUGCUUAAACAAGAAGGUAAACCCCCCGUAAACCGAUUGAGUGAAAUAUCGACAACGGCGAGUUUGUUUCCACAUUGUAAGCGACUCGGUAGUUGACCCGUCAACUUGUUUGAUGUAAGGUUCAGGUAGGUAAGGUAUGGCAAUGAGAAGAGUGAAGGUGGUGGGACACCAGAAAGGGAGUUGAAUGAAAGAUCAAGUUCUUGAAGAAUGAGUUCUUGCUGAGAUACAGAAAGGUCAAACUGUUUGGCAAAUUGGGAAGAUCUGGUAAUUGACCUGUAACCCCAUUUUCUUUUAGGCUCAAACUGGUCAAAUUUGAUAACAAGUCAACCCCAUCAAGGAAACUACUAUUAAAGAAAUUCCCAUCAAGAUUCACACUUUCAAGACUUGCUAAUCUUGUAAAAGUUUGAGGAAUUGGGCCAUACAAGUAAUUGUAACUCAUAUCAAUAUACUUAAGUGUGUAUAGCCUUUGAAAUUUUUCAGGAACUUGACCCCAGAUUCCUAAAGAAACCAAACUAAGAGUCUUCAAGCUUGUUAAUCUUGAUAAAGUGGCAAUCAAAGAGUCAAUUGAGGAGUUUUGAGAAAGGGUUUGUGAAGGAAUUGGAAACCCAUUGAAGCUUGAACUCACCUUUUUCAGUUGUUGAUCAGGAGAAAGCCCCCCCAAGAUUUUGAGCUCUGUAACAUAAUUGUUUUCACAAGUGAUGUUGACUUGUGGUGAUGACAAGUAGCAUAAAUCAUCACUUGUGUUGGCCCAAAAGUCUAAUUGCUUUGGGUACUCGAGUUGUUUUCUUAACUGAAGCAAAACUUGUUUUUGCGAAGGUUGAAUUGCAUUUGUAAAGAAGAAACUCCAUGAAAGAGUCAAGAACAGCAGAUAAAAGCUUGAAGAAGCCAUUGAAAUACUCUGUUUUUUUUUUCUUGAAGAACAAGAGUGUGUUAAAUGUGAAAUGUGAACUUUGAACAGUGAAGCUUACAUAAAUUGUGUUGAAAACAGAAUCUUUAACAACUAAAAGUCAAGAUUCAACCCUUAAAGAUCAAAAACAGACAAAUGUUAAGCUCUGUCUUCCCCUGUGAAAUCAAGAUUGAAACUUUUUCUAGAGAAAUUGAGGAAUCAAACGAAAAGGGUAGAAAACAAAGAUGAAAUCUGAUGUGGGUUGUUGAAAAAUAAUGUUAGAAAUACGAAGUUCCAAUGCAUUUAGUGGUGGAGACACGUGGGUUUGCUGCCAUGGAAGAGGACAGAGAUGAAGAAAUAAGAGGUGGGCUAUUUUGGGAUUUUUAUCUUUCUCUUUGUUCCAGAAUUAGAUAGAUAUUGAAGUUCAAUAAAGAUUGAAGAACCCCCAACAAGAAAUUAAUUGUCAAGUUAACCUCAGAAUUAAGUAAAAGUUGUACUGAAUGCAUGACAUUUAGUACCCAUUAACUCCAGAUAGUAGAAUUAGAUCCUGCUAGUAGUCAAUGUGUAGACAGUUCGCUUUAAAUUCACGUGCCAGCUGGUAGUCGGUGCUUAGUUUAGU
This 1549-nucleotide long non-coding RNA is filed under the name Helianthus annuus (common sunflower). RNAcentral's name for it is "hypothetical non coding rna". The record is from RNAcentral. Lineage: Eukaryota; Viridiplantae; Streptophyta; Magnoliopsida; Asterales; Asteraceae.